Long non-coding RNA from Xenopus tropicalis (tropical clawed frog), 4983 nucleotides. RefSeq lists it as uncharacterized. The record is from RefSeq and is a predicted model, not a curated record. The transcript is spliced from 2 exons. NCBI's taxonomy places the organism in Eukaryota, Metazoa, Chordata, Amphibia, Anura, Pipidae.
AAACAGAAUGGGAAAAUCAGAAAGGUAGAAGGAGCAUUUCAGCUCUGCUGCCCUAAUGUCACCAUUUGUCACACAGCCUUCUGUCACAGAGUCCAGGACAAGGGUUAACUCUCUCCUCCCCCCUCCGUGCUAUGUGCACAGGCUACUCUGGGAUAGUUACAGGAUUCAAAUGUGCCUGGCCUGACAAUGUUGCUGCUGCGCAUUGUUAUGCAACUGGCUGUCUGGGAGGGCAGAUUGUAGCGCCUAUACUCUGCAAGUGCCAGGUGCGUGUUUUGUCAAUGUCACAGCUCGCUACAGUAAUGCAACCCCAAGCACGGCCACUCUGUUCAUCUGGUGGGGCUGGCUGCUGAAUUACGCAAUGUGCAGAAGGAUUCCUAGGAAUUAUUUGCCAGUGAUGCCUGCUUAAGUGUGAAGUACACCUGGCGCUGGAAAUCCCUGGCACUGCUCAGGUUACUUACAAAUCCCCAGCGUACAUUUCCAGAGAGAGAGAGAGAGCAAGCAGUGGCUUAAGCUCAAAGAGAUGAAAAAUUCCCAGGGAUGAUGCAUUUCUUAAGAAAGGGGAAUUUGCUCUUUUAUUUUAAGGGUCACUUGGAGAAGGGAUUCCCCUCAGGCCAAUGACAGAUCCCCUCUUUAUGGUGGAAAGAACAAACAGUUACACAGCAGAGCUACCUGCUAGACAAAGGAAACAAAGAGGAGAUAAUACAACUUGGAUUCUGAACUGAGGACAAGUCUCUUGGAAAGCUGUUCUCAUUCUGUGGAUCAAUAAUGGGUAGCAUCCUUUUCACGCCGGCUGUAUUCACUGGAUUAAUGAUAGAUUAAGGAGCCUCAAAUUUUGGUGUCUAAACAAUUUGUUAUUAAAAGGGGGAAAGAUCAAAAGCAUUGUGUGUAUGUGUACAAGUGACAUCUGUCCCCCUCGGUUUACAGAGCAGCUCAAGUGGAAGACAAUAGGGUUGGUUUUCCAUUCUGUGAGGGACAAAGAAGUAUGCCUGAUGCCACUGUACUCCUGAUGCACAGUAGGACAGUCUUCGGAGGAGUACUGAAGACAUUUUUGGGGAAAAUGAUUACGUCUGCUAUGUCAGCAGCAGCAGCAGAAGUGAAAAAACAAGAGGAGAAAGAGGAAAAAGAAGAGUCCAUUUUGGCUAUGUUGGGAAUUAUAGGAACAGUUUUAAAUCUGUUUGUCAUCAUUUUUGUGUACAUCUACACCACCCUCUGAUGGUUUAUAGCAGUUCUGAACAUCUAACAGGUGGGGGUGAAAUUGUACCGACUGCAAAUAUGGAAGGAACUGAGAAGACAUUUCAAGAGGGUCCCUCAAAAUGCUAUCCAAUACAUUCCAGUGCUAAGUGCCUAGAUGGAUUAUGGGAAAUCACGUGCAUCCGUCACUGCAGAUAGGAUUAUACGACUACGUAACCAAGAUGGGCAACACCACACUGGUGCCACUGAUACAGAAAGUCAGUGCAGAAUUACAACUGAGAAUUAAUUUAAAAACAAAAUGCCUGAGAGUGCUCUGUUACUGCCAUAUUAUAUACAAGAUACAGGAAAUGGUCAUUCAGCAUCCAUCUGUAUAUAGCACUUCCCUCAUCCGACCAUGGGUAGAAAAAAGAAAACAACUUUUAUCCUUUACUUAUACUCCAUAAAAUACUUCCAUCUGUGCUGGUACAACUAAGGAUGAAUAAUAAUCCUUUUCAACCUUUUUUUUUUUUUUUCUAAAAGCACCUUACUAAAUUUCUCACACAGACCACUCUGAUUGACCUACUGUGAAUAACUGAAGAAAGCAUUUUAUCAUAUGAUUCUAACAUUUUUAUACUUCACAGUAAUAAAUGGUUGGGUGGGCAGGUGUCUUGCAAGCCAUUAAUUAGAUUUUAGAUUAUACAAUAUGAUGCUCAGGAGCCAGCCCAUGUGUCACGGCUAGGCAAAAUGUAAUUCUCCAGCUACUGUUGAAAAACAAAACCCCAUCAUUCCCAGGCUGUUAGCUGGUGGGACUAAGGUUUCCUACGCUAUGGUCUGUAAAAUUAAGACAUUUUAUACAAUUCUGAACUGGUUGCUUUAGCUAGACAAGCAACAUUGGCUUUGAAGUUAUCCAUAAGCUGGGCAAUCUAAAAACAUUCCUGUUUUUUUCUGCAGGAAAAUAAAAUGUUUACAGGUAUCUAGAGAAGUUACCAAACUCAAAGGAAGAGCAGAAAAGCUUAGGCCAUGGUGGAUCUUGAGGUAUAGUCAAUAACUAAUAUUAAAGGACCAGUUUCACUAACUUAAAAAUCAAUAUAUGCUUUAGUUACACAAGACCUCAUUUAGACCUUUUUAUUUACUGUUAAAUUUGUAGCUUCUUUGUGCUGUACAUAUAAGCACUUCUACUCCAUUCAUUAUAUAGGUAACCUUUUAAUGUACAUUACAAAAGCAGUGCAUUGAUAUUCCCAGUUGGGUUUUUGUGGGGCAUAGUUUAUAAAAUACAGCUAAACAUGAUAAUAAUACAAUACAGAGUGUACUGCAUGGUUUGUAUCCCUUGGUUGGAGAAGCUGGUACUUUAUAUGUAAACCCAUAUAAUAAAAGUUUUUCUGCAGGCAAUUUCAUUCUGCUCAUUCAUUCAAGUUGUAUCAUGGGUCAGAUUUACUUAUGGCAUGCCAUGGUACAUACAUUGGUGACAAUAAGCAGAAACAUUUUUUUGAGGGGAAAAAUGCGUUUUCUCUGCCUUCAGUAAAUCUCACCCAUUUUGAAUUUCUUGAUUUUCUUAUGAAAUCAAGUUGGGUGAUCUACUUGUUAUAAUGUCCUAAAGCAUUUCAAACAUAGGCACAUACAACAAACAAACAUAAAUGAAUGUGUCUAUUCAGAAUACAUGGAAGUCAUUGCCACUAAAGUUAAUAUACUGUUGAUGCUGUCAAAUGUAUGUGUAAAGCUGAACAAGAUAAUGGUACUAUAAAGGUUGGAGAACCACAAUCACUGCAAAAACUUAUAGCUUUAAAAUGUAUGAGUAUGUGAUUUUAUAACAUCAUGCAUUUAUUAAAGCUGGGAACAGGUUCUUUGUACAUUUAUAGAAAAAUUAACCCAAAUGAAAUGAUAAACUGCAAAAUCUGAAAUUUCUACUAAUAAAAUUAUGCCAUUUUGGGAAAGCAAUACUGCUAUUAAUACUAGUUUUGAAUGAGCAUUAAUCAUUUUUCAAAUUCCUCCUCUUCAACUUAACCCACAUUAAAUCAAUUUAUAUGACAUUUGAAGAAAGGCAAAUGCCCCAACAAUUUAAAUAGUUUGUACAACUUUGUCUUUUUAAUAUACACCAAGUGCCCAGAAGAAACUUUGCAUUCAGUAACAAUAAAAUAUAUUCACAUUUUAAUUUUGCAAAGUGUUAAAUAAGUGUGAAAUAUCCAACUCUCAAAAUCAGAUCGUAACUGCUUUAAAAAUACUGUUAUUUGUAAUGAGAAGUAUUUUCUCUCGUUCCACUGUCCUGAGUGACUAAAUGAUAAGGAAUAAUAGUGUCAUUUGUAAUGAAAGUCAGCAGACCAAUGAAGACAAUAUGUUUAUAUACCCAGUUUGUAAUAUCUGGACAUUAACUGGUAAGAAACCAGAGAAUUAAAGUCAACAAUGUUUUUUUUGGGGUUGAGUGUAUGUAUGCUAUUUAACAGAACAAUGUGACUUUUAAUUACCAUAGCAUCUCUGCACAUGCCUGGGUCUAGUUUAACAGUCUAGUGUGCUCGAAGGUGAAACCUGCAUAAGUGUAUUACAUGGAGGCUUCAUGCUCAAUGCAAUGGCAGCAACCAAAAACAUACUCACUGAAUAAACUGGUCAUCAUGCCAUUACUUACACUGUACACAAGCAAACUAAAUGAAAAAAAACUUAAGAACUGAAACCCCACCAUUAAAAUACAAUAUAUGUUAAGGUAUUUUGCAUUUAUAGUGAACAGAUUAAUCAUACCCGCAAAAGUGAUGUUCAAAAUAAAUAAGCCUUAAACAGAACCUAAAAUAAACCGUUGUGGGUGGGUAAUAAUUUGCUAAUUCAUUGCUAGUAAACAUGCAAAAAAUUUUUAGGUUUUUAAAUGUCUUCAAAGGUUUUAGAAAAAAAAGCCCUGGGAGACUUUGUAUGUUUCCCCACCAUGGAUGUAAGCAAUGGCCACUAUCUUCUACAUUCUACUAGAAAAUUGAGGAGACCCAGCGUUAACAAAAAUCUUAUAAAAGUAAAAUAGAUCUAAAUUUAGGAUUUACAUAAGCAUGAAUAUUACAUAAAGUAUACUACUAUAGUAAUACUAGCAAUAUUUUGUUGGAACUUUGUGAAAGUACACAACAGCUAUAUCCAUUUUCAUUGCAGGUCAUCAUUUACAUUGUUAGGCCACACAGUAGUAUUUUAUUCUUUUGUAAUGUACUUAGAAAAUAAGCAAAGCCCAGCAAGCAAAACACUGAUGUCUUCAAUCAUUGGCCAAUGUAGUAAUUUUUGCUAAUUUAUAACAUGUACAUUGCGCCUACCAAGAGUGACUAAGCCACUAAUAAUCCAUAUCAUGUACACACGCAUAUUUCAGCAAUGGUGAGAAUAUUUUAUACACCUUGCAUCUGUAUACCUUAUAAGUCGGGAGAGAGAAAUGACUUUCUGGCCUGCCUCCAAAGCCUCUUUUGCACAUUAGCAAAUUUUCUUAACGGGACAGCUAAAGUAAACAAAAUGUACUCCUUUCUCAGUUUAUUACAGUAUGUAGUUAACAGACCCUCGUUCCACUGUCCUGAGUGACUAAAUGGUAAGGAAUAAUCCCUACCAGUCGACAAUGGUUUAGAGGGAACCAAAUGAAUAUAGUUGUCAAAUUGUUUACAUAAAGCUGAUAAUUUGUCAGUUAUGUUAAACUGAAAAGCAGCAAAUGAACAAUGCCAAACCUGGAACGCUUUGGUUCUCAUUAAAAUGCCAUUCUACUUUACAGGACAUCCAGAGAUUUGCCUAUGAGUACAGGAAACAAGCUGUGUUGUUUAUUAUACUAUACAAUGAAUUAUACUAUAAAAUAAAAUAAUCAUGUAAACCGAA